ACAUCGCGUCGCCACACCUCGACUCUCCUCCGCUCUCCCAUCUGACCCCCCUCCUGCCUACCGCCCCCUCUCUCCUCGUCCGCUGUGCUGCGUCGUCUGCCUUCCACCCCUUCCGUGGCCUCUCCCGUCUUCCUCGGCGCCGCCCUUCGCACUCUCUCGCUCUUGUGUGUUUUCGCCCAUGACGCCGAGUAUACCAGUCAUUGUCUACGUGGUCCUGCAGUUCGUGGCGUUCUUCUUCGUGCUGGUGGGAACGCCGAUUGACAUGUUCCGCAGCAGCAACAGCAGUGUUUUCGUUGGCCAGUGCAUCACUCUAUGGGGUUUUAAACGUGACUGUCUCUCUUUGAACUACGUUCGCACAACCGAUAUGUCUUUUGAAAAGUGCCCAUCACGCAUCACCCGAUUCCGCCUUGCGCAGGGAUGCGCCAUCAUCUCCAUCCUAGUGUACGGCGGAGCGUUCAUGCUGGGCUUUAUUUUGCUGUUCUGCUGCUCUUUGCUCCGGUGGGUCUGCCUGGUACUCAACGUGGUCGGCAUGGUCACCUCGUGCAUUGUGUGGGCGGCCAUGGCAGUGACAUACAACAAGACUGACGACAGAGUGUGCCUGCCGGUAAAAACACUGGGAAGAUAUGGUGCCGGCUUCGUGCUCUUUGUGCUGGCCUGGAUACUGGAUGUCAUCAACAUCAUCCUGUUGCUCCUUCCCUAUGACGGCGUGGACGCUGGAGCGAAUCGAAAGGCAGAGCUGCCGACCGCGCAGGAGUAGAAUGGAGGCACCAAGAGGCAACGGGGGGGGGCUUGACAGCGGCGCGGCCCCUCCCCCACACUGGCGUCCUCGUGGUGGAGCCGGUGUCGGCGAGGAUGUGGGUGCGCAAGCUGCGGGUUCCCGUGUGUGCCCUUCGCCGGCCCAGCCCUCUCGCUGCCCUGUCCUUCGUGCAUGCGUGUGCGGCACGCCGUGCACCGGGACAGCUGCCGAGGGGUGGUUGCGGCACUUCCUCCAGGAGUGCUGAUGGCACACGGCGCCUGUAUGCGUGUGUGUCUGUGUGCAGGCGCCCCCUGCGACCCUCCUCCCUCUUCUUCCGUGAGCGGCCCCCGCGACCGCGCCCCUCCCUCGCCUACGCUGCCGUUGCUCGCGCGUCUCUGUUUUCGUGCGUUAUUCGCGGGUGCCGCCGCACGCUCUCGCGCUCCUUGAUGCUCGUUUCUCUUUCGGGUUCUGCGAUGCUUGCUGUUCUCUCCUCCGCGCAG
This 1236-nucleotide unclassified non-coding RNA is filed under the name Leishmania donovani. RNAcentral's name for it is "gene:LdHU3.34.2820(CDS-product:amastin-like_surfa ce_protein_putative)". Lineage: Eukaryota; Euglenozoa; Kinetoplastea; Trypanosomatida; Trypanosomatidae. The record is from RNAcentral.